CGUGAUUGGUUCAGAGGUGUGCAUGUGAUCCAACCUAGGCCAAUCAGAAUCUUGCAAGGACUUGCCUGCUGCAGUUGCUUUCUGCCCGGAGCCUGCGUGUCAGGGAGAUGUGAAGUUGGGGUUCCUGGAGCUCAUCCUUUCUGACCGCACAGAAGAAGGCCUUGGGUAGGAGUGACUGGAGCCCACACAUGAGGGUUAUCAUCUGGGAGAAGAAGGAAGAGGAAACUACCAUUCCAGCGCCUUCCCCGCAGCGUUCAGGAAGCUCAGAACAAAUUAGGGGGUGCCCUACCAUUUCACCCACGGAUCACAGAGCCCUCCAGCUUCUGUCGGGACUUGGGGGGUUCAGGUUUCCUGCCAAUUGCACUUUCGGUCACAGAACGGAGAGGAAAUGGAAUCAUUAACGGCAUUGGAAUUUUUCUCCGAAGCCCAUUUGCUUCCUAUCUCCUGGAACAGCUACCCUAGCACACAGGAGCUUCCCUGCCAGGAGAGGAGGAAGCACUGAGAUGGGAGAGGAAGAGUCUAGAAUAAAUGAUAACAGGAAUGCUGCCUAGGGUGUGCCCCCCUGCCCCAGCUCCUCCCAGAAUGAGCCCCCGGGGAUGCCCAUCACGGAACCCCCUGUUGCUGGCAAAGGAAAGCAAGUGGGCUGUUGGUCUCAUCUUCUUAGGAAGCUCCCCGCUCAGCUUCAUCAGUUCGUUGGUACACGAAAGACCUCAGUACUCCAUGGUGUUCGCUCAGAUUGUUCUGGUUUACCACGUUGAUGUAAGGACCUCCCCUCCAAGAUGUCUGCCCCCAGGAAGUGUAUUUCCGGGAAUCCACAAGAAAGGCCUCGUGCAGAUUCUCCAGAAGUCUAUCCUCUUGCCACUUGGAAACAAUCGCCCAUGACCACGGGGGCGUCAGCUCUCGCCCACCAUCUCCACUGGGAAUUACACCCCCACUCUGGCAUCAACUUUCCCUCACCCUUGCACGCUGCUCAUGGGCGCCCAUCAUGAUGACUCCGCGUUCUUGUGGGACCCAGGCAGGGGAGAAAUGCAUGCUUCCUCCACUCUGCGGGCCACUGUGUCAACUGGGCUCCCAAACAGCCCCUGUGAAAACAGCUGCACCACACGACAUGGGCCAGGGGCUGGGCCAGGGAGAGGGAUCAUGCUGUCUUCCUCCACGACCGCUCAGCUCAGCUCCUGGCGUCUAUGCGCAGACCCCUUCCCAACGCGCUCUCCCCCGUACAACGCCCUCUCCCUGGGACGUUGCCAGCCCACCAAAUCAGCAGACGGGGCGAGAGGCUGACCCCCCUUAGCCCAGCCCAAAUCCUUGCUCAAAGUCCACACCACGUUUUGCAGUUCUCUUGGCCAGUGGAUGACAGAAACCGGCAUCGCCCUUGUAUGAUCUCAUAGCCCCUCCAGAGUGCAGCAUUCAUGGGCUCUCAGCGGCAUUGCCUUAGUGAGAGCCAUAAUUUCAUUGGUUUGCAUUCACUCCUGAAGUUCUAAUUUGCCUUUUUCUUUUCAUGUCUUUGAGCUGUUUGAGGGCAGAGCCCAUAUCUUCAACAGUUUUGUACUCUGCCACGGGAUGUGGCCAUUCCCCGGCACGGAGGAGAUACUCCGUGGCCACCAAGGACUGAACCAGGGUCAACAUGGGACACUUGGGGCGAGAUGGAACUUGACCUGGAGGCCCCCCGAGGCCCUUCCCAAGGCUUACUUUUCUACAUUCCGAUUCUGGAGGUCUGGGAGAGGCGCCUAGAAAGGAAUAAAGGUCUAAUAAACACCAUCAUUUGGAA
Molecule: long non-coding RNA, 1768 nt
Organism: Leopardus geoffroyi (Geoffroy's cat)
Lineage: Eukaryota; Metazoa; Chordata; Mammalia; Carnivora; Felidae
Exons: 3
Source: RefSeq, a predicted model, not a curated record